This 51-nucleotide ribosomal RNA is filed under the name uncultured bacterium. RNAcentral describes it as "partial 16S ribosomal RNA". The record is from RNAcentral.
CCGUAACCGCAAGGACGGGACGGUUGCCACGGUGCGUUCGUGACUGGGGUG